AACGCCGCGUGAGUGAUGAAGGCUUUCGGGUUGUAAAGCUCUGUCAGGGGGAAAGAAGUGUAUUGGAGGCUAAUAUCUACUGAUACUUGACGGUACCCCCAAAGGAAGCACCCGGCUAACUCCGUGCCAGCAGCCGCGGUAAUACGGGGGGUGCAAGCGUUGUUCGGAUUUAUUGGGCGUAAAGCGCGUGUAGGCGGUUUAUUAAGUCUGAUGUGAAAGCCCUGGGCUCAACCCAGGAAGUGCAUUGGAUACUGGUAGACUUGAAUACGGGAGAGGGUAGUGGAAUUCCUGGUGUAGGAGUGAAAUCCGUAGAUAUCAGGAGGAACACCGGU
This 332-nucleotide ribosomal RNA is filed under the name uncultured Geobacter sp. Its description in RNAcentral is "bacterial SSU rRNA". It matches the Rfam family "Bacterial small subunit ribosomal RNA", at positions 393 to 713 of the family's 1533-position model. The record is from RNAcentral. Lineage: Bacteria; Pseudomonadati; Thermodesulfobacteriota; Desulfuromonadia; Geobacterales; Geobacteraceae.